GGCAUAACGAGAGAGAGGCAGGUUUUCUGUGGAGAGGCAUAAUGAGAGAGAGGCAGGUUUUCUGUGGAGAGGCAUAAUGAGAGAGAGGCAGGUUUUCUGUGGAGAGGCAUAACGAGAGAGAGAGGCAGGUUCAUAGAGGUUUUGAUAUGUUUCUGUAUUUGUUUACUAAUGAUUUACUUUCACCUCUUUAUUUUGUUUUUCAUUCCAUGAUCUUCAAAGGACGUUAUGCAAUAGUUAAGCUUAGAUGCUGAAGUAACUGCCAAAGUUUGAGUCUUGGCUCCAACAGGAAGUGAUGUUGUUGUUUGGUCUGAUUGCGUAUUGUCCAGGAGCCUUGGGAGGUAGGCUGUAUCAUAUAAUUUGGACCUAUGCUGUGUAACUUUAGCCUGUGUUACACAAAAAAAUAAAAGAGUAUAUUUUUCACCCCUUUUUUCUCCCCUAUUUCGUGGUAUCCAACUGGUUGUAGUUACA
Long non-coding RNA from Oncorhynchus tshawytscha (Chinook salmon), 468 nucleotides. Lineage: Eukaryota; Metazoa; Chordata; Actinopteri; Salmoniformes; Salmonidae. The record is from Ensembl.